GGGUUGUGAGGUUAAGCGACUAAGCGUACACGGUGGAUGCCCUGGCAGUCAGAGGCGAUGAAGGGCGUGCUAAUCUGCGAUAAGCGCCGGUAAGGUGAUAUGAACCGUUAUAACCGGCGAUACCCGAAUGGGGAAACCCAGUGUGACUCGUCACACUAUCAUUAACUGAAUCCAUAGGUUAAUGAGGCGAACCGGGGGAACUGAAACAUCUAAGUACCCCGAGGAAAAGAAAUCAACCGAGAUUCCCCCAGUAGCGGCGAGCGAACGGGGAGGAGCCCAGAGCCUGAAUCAGCAUGUGUGUUAGUGGAAGCGUCUGGAAAGGCGCGCGAUACAGGGUGACAGCCCCGUACACAAAAGCGCAUGUGCUGUGAGCUCGAUGAGUAGGGCGGGACACGUGGUAUCCUGUCUGAAUAUGGGGGGACCAUCCUCCAAGGCUAAAUACUCCUGACUGACCGAUAGUGAACCAGUACCGUGAGGGAAAGGCGAAAAGAACCCCGGCGAGGGGAGUGAAAAAGAACCUGAAACCGUGUACGUACAAGCAGUGGGAGCACCCUUUGGGUGUGACUGCGUACCUUUUGUAUAAUGGGUCAGCGACUUAUAUUCUGUAGCAAGGUUAACCGAAUAGGGGAGCCGGAGGGAAACCGAGUCUUAACCGGGCGUUAAGUUGCAGGGUAUAGACCCGAAACCCGGUGAUCUAGCCAUGGGCAGGUUGAAGGUUGGGUAACACUAACUGGAGGACCGAACCGACUAAUGUUGAAAAAUUAGCGGAUGACCUGUGGCUGGGGGUGAAAGGCCAAUCAAACCGGGAGAUAGCUGGUUCUCCCCGAAAGCUAUUUAGGUAGCGCCUCGUGAAUUCAUCUCCGGGGGUAGAGCACUGUUUCGGCUAGGGGGCCAUCCCGGCUUACCAACCCGAUGCAAACUGCGAAUACCGGAGAAUGUUAUCACGGGAGACACACGGCGGGUGCUAACGUCCGUCGUGAAGAGGGAAACAACCCAGACCGCCAGCUAAGGUCCCAAAGUCAUGGUUAAGUGGGAAACGAUGUGGGAAGGCCCAGACAGCCAGGAUGUUGGCUUAGAAGCAGCCAUCAUUUAAAGAAAGCGUAAUAGCUCACUGGUCGAGUCGGCCUGCGCGGAAGAUGUAACGGGGCUAAACCAUGCACCGAAGCUGCGGCAG
This 1174-nucleotide ribosomal RNA is filed under the name Salmonella enterica subsp. enterica serovar Enteritidis. RNAcentral's name for it is "partial 23S ribosomal RNA". It matches the Rfam family "Bacterial large subunit ribosomal RNA", at positions 1 to 1208 of the family's 2925-position model. The record is from RNAcentral. Lineage: Bacteria; Pseudomonadati; Pseudomonadota; Gammaproteobacteria; Enterobacterales; Enterobacteriaceae.